Molecule: non-coding RNA, 75 nt
Filed under: marine eukaryotic metagenome
Description: Cyclic di-GMP-I riboswitch
Rfam family: c-di-GMP-I riboswitch aptamer
About the family: GEMM was predicted in a large-scale screen for bacterial structured RNA regulatory elements. Genes associated with GEMM are involved in a diverse array of functions, including chemotaxis regulation, signal transduction, secretion and chitin.
Source: RNAcentral
AGCAAACCUCGGGUAACCGGGGGGCGCAAAACUACGGGUCCUUUGAAAAAAGGAAGUUAGGAUAGCCGGGUUGUC